AUUGAACGCUGGCGGCAUGCCUUACACAUGCCAGUCGAACGGCAGCAUGAUCUAGCUUGCUAGAUUGAUGGCGAGUGGCGAACGGGUGAGUAAUACAUCGGAACGUGCCCUGUAGUGGGGGAUAACUAGUCGAAAGAUUAGCUAAUACCGCAUACGACCUGAGGGUGAAAGUGGGGGACCGCAAGGCCUCAUGCUAUAGGAGCGGCCGAUGUCUGAUUAGCUAGUUGGUGAGGUAAAGGCUCACCAAGGCGACGAUCAGUAGCUGGUCUGAGAGGACGAUCAGCCACACUGGGACUGAGACACGGCCCAGACUCCUACGGGAGGCAGCAGUGGGGAAUUUUAGACAAUGGGCGAAAGCCUGAUCCAGCAAUGCCGCGUGUGUGAAGAAGGCCUUCGGGUUGUAAAGCACUUUUGUCCGGAAAGAAAUGGCUCUGGUUAAUACCUGGGGUCGAUGACGGUACCGGAAGAAUAAGGACCGGCUAACUACGUG
Molecule: ribosomal RNA, 490 nt
Filed under: uncultured bacterium
Lineage: Bacteria
Description: partial 16S ribosomal RNA
Rfam family: Bacterial small subunit ribosomal RNA
Source: RNAcentral